This 21-nucleotide unclassified non-coding RNA is filed under the name Mus musculus (house mouse). RNAcentral's name for it is "oocyte_clustered_small_RNA6681". Lineage: Eukaryota; Metazoa; Chordata; Mammalia; Rodentia; Muridae. The record is from RNAcentral.
GAGGCCAUGGAGGGACAUUCC